AUUGAACGCUGGCGGUAGGCCUAACACAUGCAAGUCGAACGGCAGCACAGUAAGAGCUUGCUCUUACGGGUGGCGAGUGGCGGACGGGUGAGGAAUACAUCGGAAUCUACUUUUUCGUGGGGGAUAACGUAGGGAAACUUACGCUAAUACCGCAUACGACCUACGGGUGAAAGCAGGGGAUCUUCGGACCUUGCGCGAUUGAAUGAGCCGAUGUCGGAUUAGCUAGUUGGCGGGGUAAAGGCCCACCAAGCCGACGAUCCGUAGCUGGUCUGAGAGGAUGAGCGGGCACACUGGAACUGAGAGACGGUCCAGACUACUACGGGAGGCAGCAGUGGGGAAUAGUGGACAAUGGGCGAAAGCCUGAUCCAGCCAUGGCGCGUGUGUGAAGAAGGUCUGCGGAUUGUAAAGCACUUUAAGUUGGGAGGAAGGGCAGUAAGUUAAUACCUUGCUGUUUUGACGUUACCAACAGAAUAAGCACCGGCUAACUUCGUG
This 492-nucleotide ribosomal RNA is filed under the name uncultured bacterium. Its description in RNAcentral is "partial 16S ribosomal RNA". It matches the Rfam family "Bacterial small subunit ribosomal RNA", at positions 30 to 507 of the family's 1533-position model. The record is from RNAcentral.